RNAcentral lists this long non-coding RNA (207 nucleotides) under Mytilus galloprovincialis (Mediterranean mussel). The record is from RNAcentral. Lineage: Eukaryota; Metazoa; Mollusca; Bivalvia; Mytilida; Mytilidae.
CGCCUGAUGUUCAUAUGAUGAAAUCAUAAUCUUUCAGUCAGUUUAAUUGAAGUCUGGAGAUGGCAUGUCAGUUAACUGCUAGUAGUCUGUUGUUAUUUAUGUAUUAUUGUCAUUUUGUUUAUUUUCUUUGGUUACAUCUUCUGACAUCAGACUCGGACUUCUCUUGGACUGAAUUUUAAUGUGCGUAUUGUUAUGCGUUUACUUUUC